This 392-nucleotide ribosomal RNA is filed under the name uncultured bacterium. RNAcentral's name for it is "partial 16S ribosomal RNA". It matches the Rfam family "Bacterial small subunit ribosomal RNA", at positions 523 to 918 of the family's 1533-position model. The record is from RNAcentral.
AUACGGAGGAUCCGAGCGUUAUCCGGAUUUAUUGGGUUUAAAGGGUGCGCAGGCGGCCAUUUAAGUCAGCGGUUAAAUCGUGGGGCUCAACCCCAUUCUGCCGUUGAUACUGGGUGGCUUGAUUGCGGUCGAGGUUGGCGGAAUUCGUUGUGUAGCGGUGAAAUGCAUAGAUAUGACGAAGAACACCGAUUGCGUAGGCAGCUGACCAGACCGCAAAUGACGCUCAUGCACGAAAGUGCGGGGAUCGAACAGGAUUAGAUACCCUGGUAGUCCGCACAGUAAACGAUGAAUACUUGUUUUCGGCGAUAUAAUGUCGGAGGCAAAGCGAAAGCGAUAAGUAUUCCACCUGGGGAGUACGCCGGCAACGGUGAUACUCAAAGGAAUUGACGGGG